RNAcentral lists this long non-coding RNA (4630 nucleotides) under Homo sapiens (human). Its description in RNAcentral is "long non-coding RNA NONHSAT200278.1". The record is from RNAcentral. Lineage: Eukaryota; Metazoa; Chordata; Mammalia; Primates; Hominidae.
GAGCGGCCACUGUUGGGGCCCUCGAAAGAGGUGUCGGUCCUCUGGGAGUCGGAAGAGCUGUCUGGGAUUAUUUGAGGUGUAGAGGGUGGGAAGCGAAGCCGAGACGGCCGACCCCGCCACGAUGCUGCUGAAGAAGCACGCAGGGAAAGGAGGGGGCCGGGAGCCCAGAUCCGAGGACCCGACCCCUGCCGAACAGCAUUGUGCCCGGACCAUGCCCCCGUGUGCCGUCCUGGCGGCCCUCCUGUCAGUGGUGGCCGUGGUGUCUUGCCUGUACCUGGGUGUGAAAACCAACGACCUCCAGGCGAGGAUCGCCGCUCUCGAAUCCGCCAAAGGGGCCCCUUCCAUUCAUCUGCUGCCUGAUACCCUGGAUCACCUCAAGACUAUGGUGCAAGAGAAAGUGGAGCGACUUCUGGCUCAGAAAUCCUAUGAACAUAUGGCUAAAAUAAGAAUCGCAAGAGAAGCACCUUCAGAAUGUAACUGCCCAGCAGGCCCUCCAGGGAAACGAGGUAAGAGAGGCCGAAGAGGAGAAUCUGGUAAGUCUGGACAGCCUGGUCCUCAGGGCCCUCCUGGUCCAAAAGGCGAUAAGGGAGAACAAGGUGAUCAGGGACCUAGGGGUCCUCUAGGGCCUCCGGGACAAAAGGGUUCUAUUGGAGCACCUGGAAUUCCAGGGAUGAAUGGGCAAAAGGGUGAGCCCGGGUUGCCUGGAGCAGUAGGACAGAAUGGAAUACCAGGACCUAAGGGAGAACCUGGAGAACAAGGUGAAAAGGGAGACGCUGGAGAGAACGGCCCCAAGGGUGACACAGGCGAAAAGGGUGACCCUGGAUCAUCUGCUGCAGGAAUUAAGGGAGAACCUGGGGAAUCUGGUCGUCCAGGGCAAAAGGGUGAACCAGGGCUUCCUGGGCUUCCUGGACUUCCGGGGAUAAAGGGAGAACCAGGUUUCAUUGGUCCUCAAGGAGAACCAGGCUUACCAGGUUUACCAGGAACAAAAGGUGAACGGGGGGAAGCAGGGCCUCCUGGAAGAGGUGAGCGAGGGGAACCUGGAGCCCCCGGACCAAAGGGGAAACAAGGUGAAUCAGGAACUAGAGGCCCAAAGGGGUCAAAGGGGGAUCGUGGAGAAAAAGGGGACUCUGGAGCUCAGGGACCAAGGGGUCCACCUGGUCAAAAAGGGGAUCAAGGAGCCACUGAGAUCAUAGACUACAACGGCAACCUCCACGAAGCCUUACAGAGGAUUACCACCUUAACUGUCACGGGUCCCCCUGGACCUCCUGGACCUCAAGGACUACAAGGGCCAAAGGGAGAGCAGGGAUCUCCAGGAAUCCCAGGAAUGGAUGGAGAGCAGGGACUCAAAGGCUCAAAGGGAGACAUGGGGGACCCAGGGAGCCAAUGGAAUGAAAGGAGAAAAAGGAGAUUCUGGAAUGCCGGGUCCACAGGGUCCUUCUAUCAUAGGCCCACCAGGCCCACCAGGUCCCCAUGGCCCACCUGGCCCCAUGGGACCUCAUGGACUUCCUGGACCAAAGGGAGCAUCUGGCUUAGACGGAAAGCCAGGAUCCCGGGGUACAGAUGGUCCUAUGGGACCCCAUGGCCCUGCAGGUCCCAAAGGAGAAAGAGGUGAAAAAGGAGCUAUGGGAGAGCCUGGACCAAGAGGGCCCUAUGGGCUGCCUGGGAAAGAUGGAGAGCCUGGUCUUGAUGGCUUCCCUGGUCCACGGGGUGAGAAGGGUGAUCUAGGAGAAAAGGGAGAAAAGGGGGAAAAGGGAAAGAAAGGCAAAAAGGGGCCUAAAGGGGAGAAAGGAGAACAGGGUGCUCCUGGAUUAGAUGCACCCUGCCCGUUGGGGCCAGAUGGCUUACCCAUGCCUGGCUGUUGGCAAAAGUGAUGAAUCUAACCUUUCAAGCAUGAAGUUGUGUAUAUAAGGGUCCAUUUUUAAUAUUUAUAGUUGAAAACUGAAUUGCAGAUUUUACAAGUCUGAGAUAUGUUUACAUAGGGCUGCUUCUUCCUGCUGGCAGUAGUAUACAUGUCCAUUUUUACUCCACUUACAUCUGAAAUUGGGCAAUUUGUGAAACCAGUGAGAAUCCUGCAAAAAAUAUAGAUCAGUAUCUCCUUAUCUUAUGUGAAGAUACGUAUUUAUAUGGACAAAUCAGUGGUAGAGAAUGAUUGAUUGUACUAGCUAUUUUCCUUCUUUUGGCUUGCUAAUUGCAUGGACAAAAAGUGCCAUGAAAUAGUUUACAUGAAAUGGUGACCAAAUAUGGACUCAAAGCUAUGAAAAUGUACUAUACUGACUGAUUUUAGAGCUGAUUAUCACAUUCCCAUUCACCUUUCAUGUCGGCGUUGACUCAUACCUACACCACCCAUUGAAACUAACUAAAAAAGCAUGACUGUGUGCCAAACCUGCUUGCUGUGCAACUUCAGAUGCUAGCAUGUUGAUCAGGAGUCCUUUGAUUACAUCUGAACCUUUAUUCCUUUUGUCAUCUCAAGGGGGUUACACCAUGGCUUAUUGCCAAAAAGAGAUAAGGUGGCGGAGAGCACACACACAAUUUGUCUUGUAUUUUGAGGGAGUUGCAGUCCUGACUGCAGAUCUACAGCUUCCAGUAUUGUGGGCUCAUGUGGCCACUUUGGUUGAAAUACGAAGGGGUUGAGCCUGUUGCUGCCACCAGUUUUCCUUGGGCUGCCCUUGGCAGUGAAGACAUGGGAAGAGGACCGAUUCAGCCUCCAGCACUGCCUCUCAUGUGACCAAGUAGGAAAGAGGUUUACAAAUGCAAACAUGCAGAACCACAGACUUUAAAAAUAUGUAUAAAUAAACUGAAUUUCAGCAAGUGUUAAUAUAGGUGCUUUUAAAAAUGACAGAGGCACAGCACUUCUUUUGGAAUAGGAGAUUCUUGGAAUGGGAGAUCCUGUCCCUGAGGGAAAAGGGAUGUCCAUCCCACCAAAACUUGGGUUGCUGAAGAAAUAACAUGUUCUGAGAAGGGAUCAGCCAAAAUCGCCUCUCCCGAUGAUAUAGGAGAGCUUACUGGGACAAUCUGUGCCAAAGUUGUUGUGAGAGCUUUCCUUCCUCCUACGAUCCAACCAUGUCAAACAUUUCCUACAAAGUUUGAGAAACAGACCAAAUCUAAGAUCUCAGAAAGCUGUGAAAUAUAGUUGCCAUAAAGAAAAUAUUUUUCAUCUACUUGCUCAAACUUUACCUAACCAUAUUAGAUGGAACAUUUCUUUGCACAGUAAAGAGUUGGUAGCGUGUUUUGAAAUGGCUUAUUCUAAGUGGAAGUGUUACAUUGAAAGAAACAUUAUCAAUGAGGAGUAGGCACCCUUUCAGCCCAUUAGAGAAUUUAAUUUCUCUCCUGACUCAAUGCCAUCUUCUGGGAAGAUUUCUAGUUUCAUGCAUAGGUGUCACCACCAGAAGGGAAAUUAACUCAUCCUUGGCUUAUAGUUAAGAUAUAACCAUAAGACAAGGAACCUAAAAUCCUCAUGAUCUCAUUUAUGUUAUGUAACCAAAUGACAGUCAUACAAAAUGGCAUCUUCUUUUUUUUCUAUUAAAUUUUUAAGGUUGAAAGAUGUUUAAACUAUUAGAUCAGUCUAAUUGGUAACAUUUCUGGUAACAUUCCACACCCCUAAGCCAGUUUAGCAUUUUGAAAAUAAUGGAGGACAUUUUCUAACAAUUUCUUGUAUGGCAUGGUGUUAGGAUAACGUAUUGCUCAAUGUCUGACACAAUUUGUCUUAAAUGGUUUGGAAAAAUGAACUGAAGUGGGUGGAACUACAUUCUCUUCAGGAAAACAAACUACAGUGUCCAGUGGCUAUAUUUUUUUCCCUUCUAUCUUUUUUUCUGCUCCUCUAGUAGAAAGAGGUGGAUUGAAAUGGAUCACUAUUUAAAACUUGCACAGCUUCAGGAGACGAUACCUCAACAUCAAAAGAAAAACACUUUAUGUAUAAAAAAAUUUUUUGAAAUACAGCCCUUCAAAGAAUACUAUUCUGUCCUGUGUGUAUAUUGAGUUUUUGCUCUAUAACUGAUUUGACAACAUCAACUUAUUUCAUGAUUAAAUGAGGUUGUAAACUUUCAUUACAUUUAUUUCCUUGGGAAAAACAAAGGGAUGGAAAUACUCCUCCUUGUUCAGUGGAAUUGCUAGGUCUUAACCAUGAUGGAUAAUCUUUAACUUUUGGUUACUACAAUGUUUUCAAGCAUCCAUUUUGUCAUAUAGAGAAUUCUUAAAUAAUUUCUAAGUGAAUGAAAGAAUUGUGUUUGUUGAUAUGUGUUGAUAGAUAAUAUACUUUCCUUAAAGAUUUCUUUAAUGUGUGUUAUUGGAUAGAGGGUUGAGAAAAUAUACAUGAAAGACACAUUGGAAAUAAGGCAAGGUCAGUUUCUAUUUCUAAUAAAACAUUGAAGGAUAGCAAAUUGAUAUGUGUUUUAGAUUUAAAAUUGUUUUUCAUUUAUGUUGGUUGGUGCUAAUGUAUCUCUUUUCCUUUUUCUCUAUGGACAAUACAACUACUAUGGAUAAUUUUAUUUCCCUGUUUAAUAGCAUUCCUAAAUCAUUAGUGUGUUAUUUUAUUUUUAAAGUUCAUGAAUUUGCUAUAAUUAUGGUCCAAUGACCAGGCUUUCUUAAUGUAAAACAAAACAGUGUACCAAUAGAUGAUGUGUGUUUACUCGGA